AGCGGAGGAAAAGAAACCAACAGGGAUUGCCCCAGUAACGGCGAGUGAAGCGGCAACAGCUCAAAUUUGAAAUCUGGCCCCAGGCCCGAGUUGUAAUUUGCAGAGGAUGCUUUUGGCGCGGUGCCUUCCGAGUUCCCUGGAACGGGACGCCAUAGAGGGUGAGAGCCCCGUACGGUUGGACACCAAGCCUUUGUAAAGCUCCUUCGACGAGUCGAGUAGUUUGGGAAUGCUGCUCAAAAUGGGAGGUAUAUUUCUUCUAAAGCUAAAUAUUGGCCAGAGACCGAUAGCGCACAAGUAGAGUGAUCGAAAGAUGAAAAGCACUUCGAAAAGAGGGUUAAACAGCACGUGAAAUUGUUAAAAGGGAAGCGCUUAUGACCAGACUUGCGCCCGGUGAAUCACCCAGCUCUCGCGGCUGGGGCACUUUGCCGGCUCAGGCCAGCAUCAGCUCGCUGUCGGGGACAAAAGCUUCGGGAACGUAGCUCUCUUCGGGGAGUGUUAUAGCCCGUUGCACAAUACCCUUCGGCGGGCUGAGGUACGCGCUCCGCAAGGAUGCUGGCGUAAUGGUCAUCAGCGACCCGUCUUG
RNAcentral lists this ribosomal RNA (583 nucleotides) under uncultured fungus. RNAcentral describes it as "eukaryotic LSU rRNA". It matches the Rfam family "Eukaryotic large subunit ribosomal RNA", at positions 49 to 656 of the family's 3401-position model. The record is from RNAcentral. Lineage: Eukaryota; Fungi.